CGGGGGGGGCAAGCGUUGUUCGGAAUUACUGGGCGUAAAGGGCGCGUAGGCGGUUUGCUAAGUUGGAUGUGAAAACUCUGGGCUUAACCCAGAGCCUGCAUCCAAAACUGGCAAGCUGGAGUUUUGGAGGGGGAAGCGGAAUUCCUGGUGUAGCAGUGAAAUGCGUAGAUAUCAGGAGGAACACCGGUGGCGAAGGCGGCUUCCUGGACAAAAACUGACGCUGAGGCGCGAAAGCUAGGGGAGCAAACAGGAUUAGAUACCCUGGUAGUCCUAGCCCUAAACGAUGGAUACUUGCUGUGAGGGGGAUUGAAUCCCUUCGUGGCGAAGCUAACGCAUUAAGUAUCCCGCCUGGGGAGUACGGUCGCAAGGCUG
RNAcentral lists this ribosomal RNA (372 nucleotides) under uncultured organism. RNAcentral describes it as "bacterial SSU rRNA". It matches the Rfam family "Bacterial small subunit ribosomal RNA", at positions 526 to 896 of the family's 1533-position model. The record is from RNAcentral.